CCUACGGAGGCAGCAGUGAGGAAUAUUGGUCAAUGGACGAGAGUCUGAACCAGCCAAGUAGCGUGAAGGAUGACUGCCCUAUGGGUUGUAAACUUCUUUUAUAAAGGAAUAAAACGAGGAACGUUUGCCUGUUUGCAUGUACUUUAUGAUUAAGGAUCGGCGAACUCCGUGACAGCAGCAGCGGUAAUACGGAGGCUCCGAGCGUUAUCCUUAUUUAUUGGGUUUAAAGGGAGCGUAGUUGGGUUGUUAAGUCAGUUGUGAAAGUUUGCGGCGCAACCGUAGAAUUGCCAUUGAUACUGGCAGUCUUGAGUACAGGUGAGGUAGGCGGAAUUCGUGGUGUAGCGGUGAAAUGCUUAGAUAUCACGAAGAACCCCGAUUGCGAAGGCAGCUUACUAAACUGUGACUGACAUUGAUGCUCGAAAGUGUGGGUAUCAAACAGGAUUAGAUACCCUGGUAGUC
Molecule: ribosomal RNA, 459 nt
Filed under: uncultured bacterium
Lineage: Bacteria
Description: partial 16S ribosomal RNA
Rfam family: Bacterial small subunit ribosomal RNA
Source: RNAcentral